AGGACGAACGCUGGCGGCGUGCUUAACACAUGCAAGUCGAGCGAGAGCCAGUUGAGGGGUAACCCUCGGCUGGGGACAGCGGCGAACGGGUGCGUAACACGUGGGCAACCUGCCCCUGACACUGGGAUAACCCCGGGAAACCGGAGCUAAUACCGGAUACUCUCGGCCGAUCACAUGGCUGGCCGAGGAAAGGUCCGCCGGUCAGGGAUGGGCCCGCGGCCUAUCAGCUUGUUGGUGGGGUAACGGCCUACCAAGGCGACGACGGGUAGCUGGUCUGAGAGGACGACCAGCCACACUGGAACUGAGAUACGGUCCAGACUCCUACGGGAGGCAGCAGUGGGGAAUAUUGCACAAUGGGCGAAAGCCUGAUGCAGCGACGCCGCGUGAGGGAUGAAGGCCUUCGGGUCGUAAACCUCUUUCGGCAGGGACGAAGCGAUCAGUGACGGUACCUGCAGAAGAAGCCCGGCUAACUACGUGCCAGCAGCCGC
Molecule: ribosomal RNA, 488 nt
Filed under: uncultured bacterium
Lineage: Bacteria
Description: SSU rRNA
Rfam family: Bacterial small subunit ribosomal RNA
Source: RNAcentral